Molecule: long non-coding RNA, 672 nt
Filed under: Olea europaea subsp. europaea
Lineage: Eukaryota; Viridiplantae; Streptophyta; Magnoliopsida; Lamiales; Oleaceae
Source: RNAcentral
CAAGAACAGAUAAUUCAAGAAUCAGGACUAGGGAUCAAAAAGUAAAACCAAGAUCAAGAACUUAAGAAUCGAGAGAGUCAAUAUUCAGGAAUCAAGAUCCGAAACAAAGAUCCAAUAUCAAAGAAGCAUUUCCAAUGAAUUAAGGUAUGUUUUGCACUUAAUAAUUUUUUUUGGUGAUUUAACAUGAAAGAUCUUGGCAAUAAAGUAAUUAGGUUUUCAUGUUAUUAAGAUUUAAAGUUCAUAAAAUUACAACUGAAGGGUCAUUCGAAUUGAACCUGGAUGAAUAGAAUUCAAUCCCAGAUGGUAAAACACAGGUGGGGAAGUUGAGGGGUGGGGGACGGUACAGAGACUGAUCCAAAUGAGGGAACUAAUCAGGAAGAGAUGGCAAGUACAAGAUGCCAGUGCCAUGGUAGCCUUUGUCACCAUCGAGGCUCCGAAUUUCUAGUUUGAGUCUGCACACAGCGAAGUAUUCGAAGUACCGGGCCGUUUGAUCGUCCCCAAAAUACAAAUCUAUGGAGAAUUUAUUCAAAUUGAUGAGAUUUUUUUUACUGGAUUUUGAUGUUCGAAUGAGUCAUUUGUGCAAUGUGAUAGAGAAGAGCAGCAAGAAUUUUCACAACUUUGUGCGUUUUCUGGUGUGUUUAUGUGCGAAAAACUGUCAGCAAGCUGUUUCUA